UACGGAGGAUGCGAGCGUUAUCCGGAUUUAUUGGGUUUAAAGGGUGCGUAGGUUGUUUUUUAAGUCAGCGGUGAAAGUUUGUGGCUCAACCAUAAAAUUGCCGUUGAAACUGGAAGACUUGAGUGUGUUUGAGGUAGGCGGAAUGCGUGGUGUAGGGGUAAAAUCCGUAGAGAUCAAGAGGAAUACUCAUUGCGAAGGCGACCUGCUAGAACAUAACUGACGCUGAUGCGCGAAAGCGUGGGGAGCAAACAGG
Molecule: ribosomal RNA, 253 nt
Filed under: uncultured Parabacteroides sp.
Lineage: Bacteria; Pseudomonadati; Bacteroidota; Bacteroidia; Bacteroidales; Tannerellaceae
Description: partial 16S ribosomal RNA
Rfam family: Bacterial small subunit ribosomal RNA
Source: RNAcentral